RNAcentral lists this long non-coding RNA (939 nucleotides) under Gossypium barbadense (sea-island cotton). RNAcentral's name for it is "long non-coding RNA (GBAR_LNC011834)". The record is from RNAcentral. Lineage: Eukaryota; Viridiplantae; Streptophyta; Magnoliopsida; Malvales; Malvaceae.
AAAUAUAUGUUUUAUUUAUGAAUGUAUCUUCUUACUUAAAAUUUAUAAUUUCAAUAAAUAAGUGUUGACUGCAAUGGUACAUUAUACUUGUAACAGGCCCAAUUUAUCCACCCCGUUAUAAGCCAAAAUUAAAAAAAAUAAUAAAACCAAAUAAAAUUAAUAUUCCAAAUAUCUACAAUCCAAAUUACAAGGAUUCAAAGCCCAACAACAAAAAUUAAACAGGCCCAGCAAUAAACCUAACCCAAACCCUAGAACCCAAUUACAUUGGCUCAAGUGGCCCAAAGGUCAAACUAUUCUCAAGAUACCCUAGGGUUUCCACUUUUGCGCCGCAACCAACCCCAACGCCACUUGUGCCUCCACGUUGGCCUCCGCGCGCCCACAGCCACAACCACCUCGACACGUACCCUCUCUGUACCUCUGUACAUGCCAAUGCACACCCCCGUACCUGCAUGAAAACACAAGAAGACAAUAGCAAAAAGGGGAACAAAAAAAAAAUCUUUGUAUUCGGUUAUAAAAAGAAAAGGAAUCAUCUUGUAUUUUUUUUUACACAGAAAUCAAUAGCAAUCGAAAACAGAAACAAUAUUGGCAAAAAAAAGAAGGUGAUUUUUCAUUUUAUUUCGCGAGUUUAUUCCAGAUAUAGUGCUCACAUACAUAUUUUUUUAAAAAAUAAGAUUCUUCUCACCUUCUUUGGGUCGGGGAAGUGGCUCUCUCCGAUUUUCUAGAGGGUUUUUAUUUGUUUUAAACUCAGAUUUGAGGUGAGGAGAGCGAGGAGAUUAAAAGAGGGUUAGUUUCGUACCUCCGACCGUCGUACACGACGGUCGUUAGCGACGGACGGACAGUGGUCCGAUCGCCGGAAACGGAGGCCCCAGAGAGAAACCCAGAACUCAUUUUCUUUUUUUGUUUUAAAUCACAGCUGAAAUGAGGUUUUUUUAAAAAAAA